This is a non-coding RNA of Mus caroli (Ryukyu mouse), 419 nucleotides long. Lineage: Eukaryota; Metazoa; Chordata; Mammalia; Rodentia; Muridae. The record is from RefSeq and is a predicted model, not a curated record.
UCCCUGAUGAGGGUGAUCACUGGCUACAAGCCUGGGGCUUCCACACCCAAGGUCUGGGAAGCUGCUCUUUCCGGAAGGGUGGUAGAGACCCUGGGAACCAGACCAGGCGGGCUCACAAAGUAUGAAGAGAAUGUCGGGAGAGGAAGUGGUGGCUCUGAGUCAGCACGAGUCAUCUGGUUCCAGUGACAAUGAAGACUGAGGCAAGCUGCGCAUAUCUUGGGAUCUUCACAGCACAGUGGCUGGGAAGGCAGGCGAACCCGUCUAUCAGCUUCUCCCUGGUGGGAUUCUUGCGGGGGCAGGGAUUGAGUCAAACCUUGGAAAUGACGUCAUUCUGAACUCAUCUGCCUUUAUCCAGAAGACUACCAAAGCAAACCAGAGGACCAGAGAACAGCAGCUGCUCUGGACAAAGAGGGGAGGAC